UGGGGAAUUUUGGACAAUGGGGGAAACUCUGAUCCAGCCAUCCCGCGUGUGCGAUGAAGGCCUUCGGGUUGUAAAGCACUUUUGGCAGGAAAGAAACGUCAUGGGUUAAUACCCCGUGAAACUGACGGUACCUGCAGAAUAAGCACCGGCUAACUACGUGCCAGCAGCCGCGGUAAUACGUAGGGUGCAAGCGUUAAUCGGAAUUACUGGGCGUAAAGCGUGCGCAGGCGGUUCGGAAAGAAAGAUGUGAAAUCCCAGAGCUCAACUUUGGAACUGCAUUUUUAACUGCCGGGCUAGAGUGUGUCAGAGGUAGGUGGAAUUCCGCGUGUAGCAGUGAAAUGCGUAGAUAUGCGGAGGAACACCGAUGGCGAAGGCAGCCUCCUGGGAUAACACUGACGCUCAUGCACGAAAGCGUGGGGAGCAAACAGG
Molecule: ribosomal RNA, 429 nt
Filed under: Acidobacteriota bacterium
Lineage: Bacteria; Pseudomonadati; Acidobacteriota
Description: Acidobacteria bacterium partial 16S ribosomal RNA
Rfam family: Bacterial small subunit ribosomal RNA
Source: RNAcentral